UAGUGAAUCUUCCACAAUGGGCGAAAGCCUGAUGGAGCAACGCCGCGUGUGUGAUGAAGGGUUUCGGCUCGUAAAACACUGUUGUAAGAGAAGAAUGACAUUGAGAGUAACUGUUCAAUGUGUGACGGUAUCUUACCAGAAAGGAACGGCUAAAUACGUGCCCG
This 164-nucleotide ribosomal RNA is filed under the name uncultured bacterium. Its description in RNAcentral is "partial 16S rRNA". It matches the Rfam family "Bacterial small subunit ribosomal RNA", at positions 355 to 511 of the family's 1533-position model. The record is from RNAcentral.